Molecule: ribosomal RNA, 252 nt
Filed under: uncultured bacterium
Lineage: Bacteria
Description: partial 16S ribosomal RNA
Rfam family: Bacterial small subunit ribosomal RNA
Source: RNAcentral
UACGGAGGAUGCGAGCGUUAUCCGGAUUUAUUGGGUUUAAAGGGUGCGUAGGCGGUCCGUCAAGUCAGCGGUAAAAUUGCGGGGCUCAACCCCGUCGAGCCGUUGAAACUGUCAGACUUAAGUUGGCGAGAAGUACGCGGAAUGCGCGGUGUAGCGGUGAAAUGCAUAGAUAUCGCGCAGAACUCCGAUUGCGAAGGCAGCGUACCGGCGCCACACUGACGCUGAGGCACGAAAGCGUGGGGAUCGAACAGG